CGCUAAGGUGCUAAGGUGUAUAAAACACGAACUACAAUUUAGUUUACGAUGUUACAUUACUAGUUAAGUAAGUUAACUACAAUUUAUGUGUGCGAAAUGUCAGAGUUUCGACGUUGUCAUAGGUUUUCGUCUGCUCAACUCACAUCACUCAAAUUAAUUGUUUGUCAAAUUGCAGAGAUAGAUAAUUAGAUACAGAUUUUUCAACAUUUCAAGCAGUAUUCUUCAAAUUGCCUCAUAUUAAUAAGAUAUGUCUUUCAGAAAAGUGCCUGGAUUUUAUCGUAAAAAACAUCGAUAAAUUUUCUAUGAAAUCGGGCAGGGAACCACUAGAGGAAAUCGGUUCAGACAUUUGUAACAGUCCCUGUGAUCAAUUACCCUCUUUUCUGUUGGACAAGCUUGUAAUGAUGUUGAUGGAGACUUGUCGUCUAGACAAGAAAUGUCUAGAGUUUCUAAUAUCUACCAACCUUUGGACUUUGGAUCUAUCCCAGUGCCAACAACAAGAAAGGGCUCACCUGUUGUGCAUUGGGUCAAUCAGAAGUCAGAAUCUGAAAACACUAAAGCUUGGAUGUGGUCACAUAGAUCCAGAAUUUUUAAAUUGCAUUUCCAAAUUUAAAUGUUUGCAAUUUCUGGAAUUUUCCCAAUGCUCAGACGGGGACAAAAUAAUGAUAAUUCUUGGAGCUCAUUGCACAGAUUUGAGAGGAGUAAUUCGAGUGAACACUUCGACUGAACAAAGGCCUGCGUAUAACAGACGGUACUAUGCAGAGUGAGCAGGGCAACACCUUUCGUCGUAAAAGCCGCAUGCUGUGGAUAACAACCGGAGAACGCAGAAAGGUAACUCGGAUUGAAGAACGAGGAAAACAAAAGGUACACAUCACAACGUCCAUAAAUUAAAAAAAAAUUUAAAAAUUAUACAAAGGAGAUCGGAUAAACUUGAAAGAUUCAACUGUUUUUAGAUAAUGUCAGCAGAAGUUCGUGUGGGCUGGCCAACCCUGGGUUCCCGUGACAAUAGAGGUCAUAGGAAACGUUACCUAAAAGUGUCAGGUGGUGGUGUAGAGGUUGGGUGAGAAAGACACGUGUCUACACCAUUAUCAAGUAGGUAGAAUUGCCGCAAGGCUUGAGUUGAAAGUUGAGUCAGGGUGAGAAAAAAUCGUAUAAAAGGAGAGAGAAAAGGGCCACAGGAAUCAGUCGAGUGAGCCUCUCCGGCACGGCAACAUCUGAAUCCAAUUCGCAAUCACGGUUAAUUACGGCGUCGUCCUGCUGUUGGUUGUUGUAUCGUGUGGCUGUGUCGACGACUGGUGUACCGAUGUCUCCUGGGUAUGGCGGCUGCUAAACCGCAACGCCGCCGCCUUACUACGCAACAACAACAUAAGCAACGACCAUUUACUACACCAAGGCACCGGAGUACUUCACGACUAGGUAUGCCGCUCACCUAAGCUCCGAAGUAUUAUGCUGCCCCUAGCUACACCACUUAAACGCCGAGUACUACACCGAGGCUGGAUAGAGGAUGGGUGAGAACGCCACGCGUUACAUCAUUAUCAAGCAGGCUACAAUAACCUCAACUACUGCGUCGCGCUGCUGUUGGGUGUUGUAUCGUUGAUGGCUGGGUCGACCACGAGUGUACCGAUGUCUCCUGGGUGUGGCGGAUUCCAAACAACAACGACGAAGGAAUACUACACUUCGACGACGCCUUACUACACAACAACAACGUAUGCAAUACCUUACUACACCGAGACUCCGAAGUACUACACCACCAAUGCUCCAAAGUAUUGCUUAACUUAUGCUGCCCCGAGCUACUACACCGAAGACCCGAAGUAUGACUGCCCCGAGCUACACCGCCAAAGCGCCUGAGUGCUACACUACUACGUAUGCCGCUCCAGUUUAGUAAACCGAAGGCUCUUAAGUACUACACCGAGGUUUCCAAGUACUACUCUGCUCCCAGCUACUACACCGAGGUUCCAGCUUACAACAUCGAGGCUCCCAAGUACUUUUUUCUCCCAGCUACUAUACCAAGGCUCCCGUUCAUUACACCACCGAAGCGGAUGAACACUACACCGAAGCGCCCAAGUACUACUCUGCCCCGAGCUACACAACCAUAACUGAUGCUGUUAAGUAAAUUAUCGUGACCCGACUUACUACACAGUAGCUCCAGUUUACUACACCACAACCUACGCUACACCUUUACUACACUGGAGCUGAAAAGUACUACACCGAGAGGUCCUAAUACUUCACCACCACAUAUGCUGCCUUAGUUUACUAUACCGAGGAAUUCAAGUGUUACUCUGCUCCCAGCUACCACCAAACCGAGGUUCCUGUUUACUACACCACCAAGGCACCCCAGUUUUGUACUGCUCCUUACGCUGCUCCGACCUACUACACAGAAUCUCCUAAGUAUAACUCUACCCCGAGUUACUACUCCAGUAAGGCACCUGAUGCUACACCACAACCUACGCUUAUCCAGCUUAUUACAAGGAAGUUUUAUUAGGUUGUGUUUAGAUUUGUUGGUCACAUAGUCAGUUUAGUUUUGGUUUGGUCACUGGGAUUUGAUUGUUUAUCUUUGACUGAGAAAAUAAACUUUUGAAUGCGAA
Daphnia pulex (common water flea) is the source of this 2582-nucleotide RNA transcript. RefSeq lists it as uncharacterized. The transcript has 8 exons. NCBI's taxonomy places the organism in Eukaryota, Metazoa, Arthropoda, Branchiopoda, Diplostraca, Daphniidae. The record is from RefSeq and is a predicted model, not a curated record.